AUGGACCCCCGGCCACCGGCCCCGGCCGGCCUCCCCUACUGCUGCGGCACGCCCUGUGGCUGGCUCGCUCUCACGGACCACCUGCGAUCCCCCACCAGGCUCAUCCUCUGGGAGCCCCUCUCCAAAGCCGAGAUCCCUCUGCCCACUCUCACAACCGUCGCCCAAGUGUUCCUCUCCGGAGACCCGCUCGCCUCGCCGGGCUGCCGCUGGAUGGCGAUCGCGAGCCAAAAGAUCCCCGGCGCACAGAUCGGGCAGAGGCUCUUCUUCUGGCGCCCCGUAGACGCGGGCUGGGUGAUGCAGCUCGAGUACCCUAACGGCAGGAUCGAAGGCGCGGCCUUCCACAACGGCAGAUUCUACGUCUCCACCAUCAACAUGUCCCUCGACAUUUUCGACCUCCAACACCAUCCUCCCAAUCGUCUGCGCCGCAUCUGCCUCUACGCUCCUUUGCAAGCGCGGUAUCCACGCUACCCUGGGAAUCCGAUACCGCAUGCUGUGGCCUGCAACAACCAGAUGCUGCUCGUCAUCGUGUAUCGCGGACCACGCCAGGCCGUGAUACUUGCGGAAGUGCACCGCCCGGAUUGGGAUGCCGACCGCCUCGACCUCCGGGAGCACAAGGUGUCGGAUCUCGGCGACUACUCGCUCUUCCUGGGCCGGGGUGACACGCUCGCGCUCUCUGCAAACGAGUUCCCGGCCAUCAGAAGAAAUUGUGUCUACUUUGUGGAGCAUGAUACAUACAAGCAUGAGCAGUGGGUGGUUGUGUUUGAUUUGGGGUCAAACGAUUUGGAACGGAUUCCCCACCCACAAGAGCACCUGGAGGGCGGCGGCAAAAGCACUGGCUGGCUGGCGUAUUCCUGGUUCUGUCCCAGAAGGCCCUUCCUUGGGAAGCAGGCCCUAUGA
Molecule: ribosomal RNA, 897 nt
Filed under: Triticum aestivum (bread wheat)
Lineage: Eukaryota; Viridiplantae; Streptophyta; Magnoliopsida; Poales; Poaceae
Description: partial small subunit ribosomal RNA
Source: RNAcentral